UGAUGCAGCGAUGCCGCGUGAGGGAAGAGGCCYUUGGGUUGUAAAGCUCUUUCGURGGGGAGGAAAAUGACUGUACGCGAAUAAGGAGGUCCGGCUAACUWCGGUGCAGCAGCCGUGGUAAUACGAAGGGACCUAGCGUAGUUCGGAAUUACUAGGCUUAAAGAGUUCGUAGGUGGUUGAAAAAGUUCGURGUGAAAUCCCAGAGCUUAACUCUGGAACUGCCAUCAAAACUUUUCAGCUAGCGUAUGAUAGAGGAAAGCAGAAUUUCUAGUGUAGAGGUGAAAUUCGUAGAUAUUAGGAAGAAUACCAAUUGCGAAGGCAGCUUUCUCGAUCAUUACUGACACUUAGGAACGAAAGCAUGGGUAGCGAAGAGGAUUAGAUACCCUCGUAGUCCAUGCCGUAAACGAUGUGUGUUAGACGUUGGAAAUUUAUUUUCAGUGUCGCAGGGAAACCGAUAAACACACCGCCUGGGGAGUACGACCGCAAGGUUA
RNAcentral lists this ribosomal RNA (491 nucleotides) under uncultured Alphaproteobacteria bacterium. RNAcentral describes it as "bacterial SSU rRNA". It matches the Rfam family "Bacterial small subunit ribosomal RNA", at positions 384 to 896 of the family's 1533-position model. Lineage: Bacteria; Pseudomonadati; Pseudomonadota; Alphaproteobacteria. The record is from RNAcentral.